This 529-nucleotide ribosomal RNA is filed under the name uncultured Dictyostelium. RNAcentral describes it as "bacterial SSU rRNA". It matches the Rfam family "Eukaryotic small subunit ribosomal RNA", at positions 356 to 891 of the family's 1831-position model. Lineage: Eukaryota; Evosea; Eumycetozoa; Dictyosteliales; Dictyosteliaceae. The record is from RNAcentral.
CGGGUAACGGGGAAUUAGGGUUCGAUUCCGGAGAGGGAGCCUGAGAAAUGGCUACCACUUCUACGGAAGGCAGCAGGCGCGCAAAUUACUCAAUCCCAAUACGGGGAAGUAGUGACAAUAAAUAUCAAUGCCUAUCCUUAUGGAGGGCAAUUGAAAUGAACACAAAUUAAAACUCUUAAUUAACACAAUUGGAGGGCAAGUCUGGUGCCAGCAGCCGCGGUAAUUCCAGCUCCAAUAGCAUAUACUAAAGUUGUUGCAGUUAAAAAGCUCGUAGUUGAAGUCAAAGGUUUGUCGGGUCAAAGUUGUUUCUCCGCUCUGGUGGUAAACAUACUCCGGCAUCUCUUUUUUUAAUAGUUCUGCUUGUGCUAUCUUUGAUGGUACUUGUUUGAACAGUUCACCGUGAGAAAAUUGUGGUGUUCAAAGCAGGCGUUUCGCCUGAUCUUUUGCAGCAUGGUAUGAUGAAACAUGACAUUUUACGCUAUUGGUUUGCGUCUAGAGUGUAAUGAUUAAUAGGGAUGGAUGGGGGUGU